UACGAAGGGGGCUAGCGUUGCUCGGAAUCACUGGGCGUAAAGGGUGCGUAGGCGGGUUUUUAAGUCAGGGGUGAAAUCCUGGAGCUCAACUCCAGAACUGCCUUUGAUACUGAAGAUCUUGAGUCCGGGAGAGGUGAGUGGAACUGCGAGUGUAGAGGUGAAAUUCGUAGAUAUUCGCAAGAACACCAGUGGCGAAGGCGGCUCACUGGCCCGGUACUGACGCUGAGGCACGAAGGCCAGGGGAGCAAACGGG
RNAcentral lists this ribosomal RNA (253 nucleotides) under uncultured bacterium. RNAcentral describes it as "partial 16S ribosomal RNA". It matches the Rfam family "Bacterial small subunit ribosomal RNA", at positions 524 to 776 of the family's 1533-position model. The record is from RNAcentral.